AGUGAACGCUGGCGGUAGGCCUAACACAUGCAAGUCGAACGGCAGCACAGUAAGAGCUUGCUCUUACGGGUGGCGAGUGGCGGACGGGUGAGGAAUACAUCGGAAUCUACUUUUUCGUGGGGGAUAACGUAGGGAAACUUACGCUAAUACCGCAUCCGACCUACGGGUGAAAGCAGGGGAUCUUCGGACCUUGCGCGAUUGAAUGAGCCGAUGUCGGAUUAGCUAGUUGGCGGGGUAAAGGCCCACCAAGGCGACGAUCCGUAGCUGGUCUGAGAGGAUGAUCAGGCACACUGGAACUGAGACACGGUCCAGACUCCUACGGGAGGCAGCAGUGGGGAAUAUUGGACAAUGGGCGCAAGCCUGAUCCAGCCAUACCGCGUGGGUGAAGAAGGCCUUCGGGUUGUAAAGCCCUUUUGUUGGGAAAGAAAAGCAGCAGGUUAAUACCCCGCUGUUCUGACGGUACCCAAAGAAUAAGCACCGGCUAACUUCGUG
Molecule: ribosomal RNA, 492 nt
Filed under: uncultured bacterium
Lineage: Bacteria
Description: partial 16S ribosomal RNA
Rfam family: Bacterial small subunit ribosomal RNA
Source: RNAcentral